This 497-nucleotide ribosomal RNA is filed under the name uncultured bacterium. Its description in RNAcentral is "partial 16S ribosomal RNA". It matches the Rfam family "Bacterial small subunit ribosomal RNA", at positions 28 to 507 of the family's 1533-position model. The record is from RNAcentral.
GAUGAACGCUGGCGGCGUGCCUAAUACAUGCAAGUCGAGCGAACAGACGAGUAGCUUGCUCCGCUGAGGUUAGCGGCGGACGGAUGGGUAACACGUGGAUAGCCUACCUCUAAGACUGGGAGAACAUCGGGGGACCGGAGCUAAUACCGGAUAAUAUAUUGAACAGCAUGGUGCAAUAGUUCAAGACGGUUUUUCGGUCAGUUAUAGAUGAAUCCGCGCCGCAUGAGCUAGUUGGUAAGGUAACGGCUUACCAAGGCAACGAUGCGUAGCCGACCUGAGAGGGUGAUCGGCCACACUGGAACUGAGAAACGGUCCAGACUCCUACGGGAGGCAGCAGUCGGGAAUCUUCCGCAAAGGGCGAAAGCCUGACGGAGCAACACCGCGUGAGUGAUGAAGGACUUCGGGUCGUAAAGCUCUGUUGUUAGGAAAGAACAAAAGCGUAAGUAACUAUGAACGUAUUGACGGUACCUAAAGAAAAAGCCACGGCUAACUACGUG